This 73-nucleotide transfer RNA is filed under the name Leptospira sp. GIMC2001. RNAcentral describes it as "tRNA-Phe". It matches the Rfam family "tRNA". Rfam says of the family: Transfer RNA (tRNA) molecules are approximately 80 nucleotides in length. Their secondary structure includes four short double-helical elements and three loops (D, anti-codon, and T loops). Lineage: Bacteria; Pseudomonadati; Spirochaetota; Leptospiria; Leptospirales; Leptospiraceae. The record is from RNAcentral.
GGCCCUGUAGCUCAGUCGGUAGAGCAGAGGACUGAAAAUCCUCGUGUCGGCAGUUCGACUCUGUCCGGGGCCA